Molecule: ribosomal RNA, 395 nt
Filed under: uncultured bacterium
Lineage: Bacteria
Description: partial 16S ribosomal RNA
Rfam family: Bacterial small subunit ribosomal RNA
Source: RNAcentral
AUACGUAGGUGGCAAGCGUUGUCCGGAAUUACUGGGUGUAAAGGGCGUGUAGGCGGAGAUGCAAGUCAGGAGUGAAAUCUAGGGGCUCAACCCCUAAACUGCUUUUGAAACUGUAUCCCUUGAGUAUCGGAGAGGCAGGCGGAAUUCCUAGUGUAGCGGUGAAAUGCGUAGAUAUUAGGAGGAACACCAGUGGCGAAGGCGGCCUGCUGGACGACAACUGACGCUGAGGCGCGAAAGCGUGGGGAGCAAACAAGAUUAGAUACCCUGGUAGUCCACGCUGUAAACGAUGAAUACUAGGUGUGGGGGGACUGACCCCCUCCGUGCCGCAGUUAACACAAUAAGUAUUCCACCUGGGGAGUACGAUCGCAAGAUUGAAACUCAAAGGAAUUGGCGGG